This 867-nucleotide ribosomal RNA is filed under the name uncultured bacterium. RNAcentral describes it as "bacterial SSU rRNA". It matches the Rfam family "Bacterial small subunit ribosomal RNA", at positions 8 to 864 of the family's 1533-position model. The record is from RNAcentral.
AGAGUUUGAUCCUGGCUCAGAUUGAACGCUGGCGGCAGGCUUAACACAUGCAAGUCGAACGGUAACAGGAAGGAAGCUUGCUUUCUUUGCUGACGAGUGGCGGACGGGUGAGUAAUGCUUGGGAAUCUGGCUUAUGGAGGGGGAUAACUACGGGAAACUGUAGCUAAUACCGCGUAAUAUCUUCGGAUUAAAGGGUGGGACCGUAAGGCCACCUGCCAUAAGAUGAGCCCAAGUGGGAUUAGGUAGUUGGUGGGGUAAAGGCCUACCAAGCCGACGAUCUCUAGCUGGUCUGAGAGGAUGACCAGCCACACUGGAACUGAGACACGGUCCAGACUCCUACGGGAGGCAGCAGUGGGGAAUAUUGCACAAUGGGGGGAACCCUGAUGCAGCCAUGCCGCGUGAAUGAAGAAGGCCUUCGGGUUGUAAAGUUCUUUCGGUGAUGAGGAAGGCGGUUGUUUUAAUAGAACAAUCGAUUGACGUUAGUCACAGAAGAAGCACCGGCUAACUCCGUGCCAGCAGCCGCGGUAAUACGGAGGGUGCGAGCGUUAAUCGGAAUGACUGGGCGUAAAGGGCACGCAGGCGGUGACUUAAGUGAGAUGUGAAAGCCCCGGGCUUAACCUGGGAAUUGCAUUUCAUACUGGGUCGCUAGAGUAUUUUAGGGAGGGGUAGAAUUCCACGUGUAGCGGUGAAAUGCGUAGAGAUGUGGAGGAAUACCGAAGGCGAAGGCAGCCCCUUGGGAAUAUACUGACGCUCAUGUGCGAAAGCGUGGGGAGCAAACAGGAUUAGAUACCCUGGUAGUCCACGCUGUAAACGCUGUCGAUUUGGGGAUUGGGCUUUAAGCUUGGUGCCCGUAGCUAACGUGAUAAA